CGGAGCGUACCUUUCAGUGGGGGAUAACGUAGCGAAAGUUACGCUAAUACCGCAUAUUCUGUGAGCAGGAAAGCAGGGGAUCGCAAGACCUUGCGCUGAUGGAGCGGCCGAUGUCAGAUUAGCUAGUUGGUGGGGUAAAGGCUCACCAAGGCGACGAUCUGUAGCGGGUCUUAGAGGAUGAUCCGCACACUGGAACUGAGACACGGUCCAGACUCCUACGGGAGGCAGCAGUGGGGAAUUUUGGACAAUGGGCGCAAGCCUGAUCCAGCCAUGCCGCGUGAGUGAAGAAGGCCUUCGGGUUGUAAAGCUCUUUCGGCCGGGAAAAAAUCGCUUGGGUUAAUACCCUGAGUGGAUGAUGGUACCGGAAUAAGAAGCACCGGCUAACUACGUGCCAGCAGCCGCGGUAAUACGUAGGGUGCGAGCGUUAAUCGGAAUUACUGGGCGUAAAGCGUGCGCAGGCGGUUUUGUAAGACAGGCGUGAAAUCCCCGGGCUCAACCUGGGAACUGCGUUUGUGACUGCAAGGCUAGAGUAUGGCAGAGGGGGGUGGAAUUCCACGUGUAGCAGUGAAAUGCGUAGAGAUGUGGAGGAACACCAAUGGCGAAGGCAGCCCCCUGGGCCAAUACUGACGCUCAUGCACGAAAGCGUGGGGAGCAAACAGGAUUAGAUACCCUGGUAGUCCACGCCCUAAACGAUGUCAACUAGGUGUUGGGUGGGUAAAACCAUUUGGUACCGUAGCUAACGCGUGAAGUUGACCGCCUGGGGAGUACGGCCGCAAGGUUAAAACUCAAAGGAAUUGACGGGGACCCGCACAAGCGGUGGAUGAUGUGGAUUAAUUCGAUGCAACGCGAAAAACCUUACCUACCCUUGACAUGCCAGGAACUUGCCAGAGAUGGCUUGGUGCCCGAAAGGGAGCCUGGACACAGGUGCUGCAUGGCUGUCGUCAGCUCGUGUCGUGAGAUGUUGGGUUAAGUCCCGCAGCGAGCGCAACCCUUGUCGUUAAUUGCCAUCAUUUAGUUGGGCACUUUAACGAGACUGCCGGUGACAAACCGGAGGAAGGUGGGGAUGACGUCAAGUCCUCAUGGCCCUUAUGGGUAGGGCUUCACACGUCAUACAAUGGUCGGUACAAAGGGUUGCCAAGCCGCGAGGCGGAGCCAAUCCCAGAAAGCCGAUCGUAGUCCGCAUCGCAGGCUGCAACUCGCCUGCGUGAAGUCGGAAUCGCUAGUAAUCGUGGAUCAGCAUGUCACGGUGAAUACGUUCCCGGGUCUUGUACACACCGCCCGUCACACCAUGGGAGCGGGUUCCGCCAGAAGUAGGUAGCCUAACCGCAAGGAGGGCGCUUACCACGGCGGGGUUCGUGACUGGGGUGAAGUCGAACAAGGUA
This 1382-nucleotide ribosomal RNA is filed under the name metagenome. Its description in RNAcentral is "bacterial SSU rRNA". It matches the Rfam family "Bacterial small subunit ribosomal RNA". The record is from RNAcentral.